GCCAGAAUAGCUCAGCGGUAAAGAAUCUGUUUGCAAUACAGGAGCUACAGGAGACUCGGGUUCAAUCCCUGGUUCAGGAA
Molecule: transfer RNA, 80 nt
Filed under: Ovis aries (sheep)
Lineage: Eukaryota; Metazoa; Chordata; Mammalia; Artiodactyla; Bovidae
Rfam family: tRNA
About the family: Transfer RNA (tRNA) molecules are approximately 80 nucleotides in length. Their secondary structure includes four short double-helical elements and three loops (D, anti-codon, and T loops).
Source: Rfam by way of RNAcentral